Onychomys torridus (southern grasshopper mouse) is the source of this 3509-nucleotide RNA transcript. It is a transcript of the gene named alpha-2-macroglobulin like 1, with no coding region annotated. The record is from RefSeq and is a predicted model, not a curated record. Lineage: Eukaryota; Metazoa; Chordata; Mammalia; Rodentia; Cricetidae. The transcript is spliced from 25 exons.
AGUUCCCGGUGGGGAUGCAGACAUGCUCCGCAGGUAGGGGGCCCAAGGGAAGGGAACUGACUUUUGAGCUUUGGGUUUUUUUCUCUCUCCCUUCCAUAGGUAACAGGGAAAGGGAGUUUGCAGAUGGAAGGGCAGAAGCAGCUGAAGGUUAAAGAGAAAAGACCAAAAAGCUCCUUCUCCGUCUCGCUGACCUUCACCUCCAGAAUGGCCCCUUCCCCCUCCCUCGUCAUCUACACCAUAUUUCCCGGCGGAGGGGUCAUAGCUGACAAAAUUCAGUUCUCCGUGGAGAUGUGCUUCGACAACCAGGUCUCCAUUGGCUUCUCACCUUCCCAGCAGCUCCCAGGGACAGUUGUGGAGUUACAGCUUCAGGCAGCACCUGGGUCCCUGUGUGCAGUCCGGGCUGUGGAUGAGAGUGUCCUGCUCCUCAGGCCGGAGAGUGAGCUGAGCAACAGCUCUGUCUAUGGGAUGUUUCCAUCCUGGUACAAUUUUUACCCCUACCAAGUGGCUGAGUAUGAUGAGUGCCCGGUGUUCGGCCCAUGGGACUUUCCUCAACCCCUCAUCGAUCCUGUGCCCGGAGCGGGACUGAGCAGGCAUUCCAUCAUCUGGAGACCCUGGUACUCUGAAGGCGCGGACCUGUUCACUUUCUUCCAGGACAUGGGCUUGAAAAUUCUAUCAAAUGCCAAAAUCAAGAAGCCGGUAGACUGCAGUCACCUCCCUCCACACUACAGCAAUACCAUGGAUGGAGCCGCGUCAGCAGGUGGCGGUAUUGCCCCAGAGACUGGGUUCGCAUCGCCAUCGCCACAGACCGUGGGCUCUCAGGUCCGCCAGUACUUCCCGGAGACCUGGCUGUGGGAACUGCUUCCGGUCGGUAACUCCGGAAACAAGGUGGUCCAGGUCACAGUUCCUGAUACCAUCACACAGUGGAAGGCUAUGACCUUCUGCACCUCCCAGUCCAGAGGCUUCGGCCUUUCGCCUACUGUUGGGCUGACGGCUUUCCAGCCAUUCUUUGUUGAUCUGAUGAUGCCUUACUCAGUCGUUCGCGGAGAAUCCUUCCGCCUUACAGCCACCGUCUUCAAUUAUCUGAAGGACUGCAUCAGGAUUCAGACUCACCUGGGCCCGUCAGAUGAGUACCGUGUAGAGUCGCGGGCAGGUUUUCAGGCCUCCAGGUGCCUGUGUGCUGACGAAGCCGAGACCUUCCACUGGGAUAUCACCCCUGUCGAGCUGGGUCAAGUUAACUUCACUAUUAGUACAAAGACUGUGGGCAGCGAUGAACUCUGUGGGGGCCAGAAGGGGGUUGUCCCUGACAGAGGCUGGAGCGACACUGUCAUCAAGCCAGUUCUUGUCAAGCCAGAAGGAGUCCUUGUGGAGAAGACUCACAGCUCAUUGCUGUGUCCAAAAGGAGAGGUGGCUUCAGACUCUGUCUCCCUGGAGCUCCCUGUGGAUACUGUUCCCGACUCUGCCAAGGCUUACAUCACUGCUCUGGGAGACGUCAUGGGCACAGCUCUCCAACACCUAGACGGUCUGGUGCAGAUGCCCGGUGGCUGUGGGGAGCAGAACAUGGUCAUUUUUGCUCCCACCAUCUAUGUCUUGCAGUACCUGGAGAAGACAGGGCUGCUGACUGAGGAGAUCAGGUCUCGGGCAGUGGGCUUCCUGGAGAUAGGGUACCAGAAGGAACUGAUGUAUAAACACAGCAAUGGCUCAUAUAGCGCCUUCGGGGAACAGGAUGGAAAUGGCAACACAUGGUUGACAGCCUUCGUCACUAAGUGCUUUGGCCAAGCUCAGAAAUUCAUCUUCAUCGAUGACAAGAACAUCCAGGAUGCCCUCAAGUGGAUGGCGGGAAACCAGCUCCCCAGUGGCUGCUAUGACAAUGUGGGAAAGCUGCUGCACACCGCUAUGAAGGGUGGUGUUGAUGAUGAGAUUUCCUUGACUGCGUACAUCACAGCUGCACUGCUGGAGAUGGGAAAGACAGUCAAUGACUCGAUGGUGAGACGAGGUCUGCAGUGCCUCAGGAAAUCUGUCGCCACCACUAACAACCUCUACACCCAGGCCCUAUUAGCUUAUACCUUCUCUCUGGCUGGAGAAAUGGAAAUCAGAAGUGCUCUUCUUCACAAGUUAGAUCAACAGGCCACGGUCUCAGGGGAAUCCAUUCACUGGAGCCAGAAACCUGCCACUGCAGGUGCUAGUCCUCGGUCCGAGCCUCAGACAGUGAGUGUAGAACUUACAGCCUACGUGUUGUUGGCUCAGCUCACCAAGAACUGCCUGAUUCAAGAGGAAGUAGCCAAGGCCACUCGCACAGCGGCUUGGUUGGCCAAGCAACGCAAUGCAUAUGGAGGCUUCUCUUCCACUCAGGAUACUGUAGUUGCCCUCCAAGCGCUUGCCAAGUAUGCUGCCGUUGCCUACACGCCAUCUGAGAGAGUCAGCAUGCUUGUAAAAUCCACUGAGAAUUUCCAACGCACUUUCAACGUAGAGUCUGCCAACCGACUGGUACUGCAGCAGGAGGCAUUACCCAGCAUCCCCGGAGUAUACACUGUGGAGGCCUCUGGCCAGGGCUGCGUCUAUGUGCAGACGGUGUUGAGAUACAACGUUUUCUCUCCUAAAAUUCCGGAGACCUUCAGCCUUCAGGUGGAAACGGGAAAAGCUAGUUGUAAAAAACUCGCUUUACCUCGGUCCUUGACUCUCGCAAUUCAUACCAGUUACGUGGGGAGCCGCAGCUCUUCCAACAUGGCCAUUGUGGAAGUGAAGAUGCUGUCUGGGUUCAGUCCCAUGGAAGGCACCAGGCAGUUACUUCUGCAGCAACCCCUGGUGAAGAAGGUCGAGUUCAGCAAAGACACACUUAACAUUUAGUUGGAGGAGCAGGGUCUUGCUGCUCAUCUUAGACUCUUGAUUCUCUUGUCUCAGCCUCCUGAGUGCUUGGACUCUGGGUGGUGCAGCUCAGAAAGAAGACUCAGACUUACACUUUGACCAUCAGCCAAAGUGUGUUGGUGACCAACCUGAAACCUGCCACCAUCAAAGUCUAUGACUACUACUUGCCAGAUGAGCAGGCGAUGACUCAGUACUCUGACCCUUGUGUAUGAGGAUAGAAGCUGGAAGGGGACUAAGUGAACCCUCCGCGACAUCGUGAACAUGAUUUUCCUCCUGAAGCAGAAUUCAUUCACUCACUCAAUUUGGGUCUCUGAUAGGAUGGAUGGCAGAUGGGUAUGCCUGGACCUCAGACUCUGCUUUCUUAUGGAGAGGUGGGGAUACUUUCACACAGGAGACUCCACAAGGCAGGGUCGCAGUGGAAGAGAAAUGGCCAUUCUUUCAUCCAUUCGGGGACUCUCAGAGUGCGGUGGCGGUAGCUGGUGGCGGGAAGAUGAGCAUGUCUCCUGGAGGUGAAAUCUAGGGAAGAUGGGACUUUGGGAGUAGGCUAAAAAAUUAAACUUUUGAAAGGCUAUCAGUGUAUCUGGCUCUGUGUGUUUUUUGGAUGCUGGGGUGGUUUGAAUAAGAAGGUCCCCUAUGAGGCAGGCUUA